UACAACGCACUACCUGUUCAUAGUAGUCGUUGCUGUCAACAGCACACUGCUCACCAUCAACGCAGGGGACUACAUCUUCUACACAGACUGGGCGUGGACGUCCUUCGUUGUGUUCUCGGUGGCCCCGUCGACGAUACAUGCUGUUUGCGCACUCGACUACAUUUUAUUCCGACGUGUUCCAUUCCCCUCCACCCAUUCCUCCACUACCAUGACCUACCCCCCACGGGUUGCAAAGCGCCCAUCGUUUGCACCCGUCCUCCCCUCAGUCUCUUUCAUGGGCGACAAGACGAAACAAGAACGAUGCCAAACUGAGUGGCGGUAAGAUGGUGGGGCGCUCCUUCCCGCUGUUCAACAUGGUCAACCUGUUGCUUGGAAGGGACCCGCUCGAGGUGGCCUUCAAGUAUCCGAGACAGACUCUGCCCGAGUACAUGAAGCCUAUAGAGCCUCAGGUAGGGAAGUUCUACAACUCGCCUGUCGCCCUGGGUUCAGGUGCCGGUGCAGUGCUAACGGUACCCAUCGCUGCGUUGGGUGCAAAACUAAACACGUGG
RNAcentral lists this ribosomal RNA (548 nucleotides) under uncultured Nitrososphaerota archaeon. RNAcentral's name for it is "uncultured thaumarchaeote partial 16S ribosomal RNA". The record is from RNAcentral. Lineage: Archaea; Thermoproteati; Nitrososphaerota.